GUCGGGACUUUUAUUUUGAAAGGCCUUUUUUUUGUGGUGUAUAUAUGCUGCUGUGUCCUCACGCCCCCUUGGUGUCUGUCUCUCUGGGUUCAUUCCGUCUCCGAGCGGCCGUGUUUCACAACCCAGGCUGAGUGAGUGAAGAUGUUCGCGGUCAGAGCGGCGUGGCGGCGCUGUGCGGUCCGGCAGGCCCUCACGGUCCGGUCCAGCCUGAAUGGAGCCGUUGCUCCUCGGAGGCUCAUGUCGUCUGUCCCUGGCGGCACAGGCGAAAAUAUUCUGUAUGUAGUUCUGUGCGGUGGAGCUUUUGCUGGUGCCAUGGCAUAUGCCUACCAAACGGUGGCAUCAGACAGCACCCGCUUUUCUGACCGUAUGUCCGGGAUCCAGGCACGGCCCAAGGAUGACUGGAAGCCCAAACCUUGGCCACCCAAAAGCGAGGAGGAUGGCAAGGAAGAUGAUGCUGAGGAGGCAGAGGAAGCAGUUGAGGCUGUAGCAGAGGCUAAUGGAGAAGAGGCGGGACCUUUGGAGCUGGCUGCAGAAGUUAACGGAGAGGAGGCGGGCCCUGUGGAGACGGUCGCAGAGACGGUCGCAGAGACGGUCGCAGAGACGGUCGAGGUGGUUGUCGUGGAAGCAGUGGAAGAGGUGGCGGCUGUGGCUGAGGAGGCAGAGCAGGCGGAGGCUGCUGCAGAGGCACUGGAGGCUCCUGUGGUUGCUGCCCCUGCCCCAGAGGAGCCUGCAGCUGAGAGCAACGUGGCCCAAGAACAUGUAGAGAUAGCUGCUGCUUCUGUGAUGGAGAAGCCAUUGGUGGUUCCUGUAGAGGAGGAAAUUCCAGUGAUUGAAGCUAUAGCACCACUUGAGGCUGAGCCAGAAAAGCUUGCAGAAGGUCCAGCUUCACCAGUAGUUGAGGAGGCAUCAACAGACGCAACUCCAGCCAAUCCUAUAGUAGAGGUACCAGUUGUCCUGACAACAGAGGAAGCACCUGUUGCUGUAGUGACUGAAGAGGUAUCAGUUACCCCUACAACAGAGGAAGCUACAGUUGCCACAACACUAGAGGAAGUAAAUGUUGCCCCAGUUGCUGAUGAGGCACUGAUUGCCCCAGACACAGUGCAAGCACUUGUUGCCCCAGCAGUAGAAGAAGCACUGGUUACCCCAACAUCAGAGGAAUCUCCUGUUUCCCAAGAAGUAGAAGAGGCACCAGUUAUCCCAAUAGCAGAGGAUGUUCCUGUUGCACCAGUUACUCUAAUAACAGAGGAGGUUUCUGUUGCCCUAGUUGCUGAGGAGGUACCAGUUAUCCCAAUAGCAGAGGAGGUCUCUGUUGCCCCAGUUUUUCAAGAGGCACCAGUUACCCCAGUAACAGAGGAGGUUUCUGUUGCCCCAGUUGCUGAAGAGGCACCAGUUACCCCAAUAACAGAGGAGGCUUCAGUUGCUCCAGUUGCUCCAGUUGCUGAAGAGGCACCAAUUGCUCUAGUAGCAGAGGAUAUUCCUGUUGCCCUAGUGGCUGAAGAGGUACCAGUUAGCCCAGGAGCAGAGGAUGUCCUUGUUGCACCUGUUUUUGAAGAGGCACCAAUUACCCCAACAACAGAACUAGAGGCUGUGGUGGUUGCAGAGCAAGUAACAGAAAGUUCAGAGGGUGUUGUGGAAGCUCCAGAAGAAGUACCAGCAAGUCCAAUUGUGGAGGUAGCAACAAGUGAAACUGAGCCAGCAAUGGAAAGUCAGGUGGUUGCAGAGGCGACAACUGCCGUUGAGACAGUGGCAUCCCUUGCUGAUAUGGAAGACCCGGCUCCAGAAUCUAAGCGUGAAUACAUAGUAGUUGUGUUGGAGGGAGCCCCCAAAACUGAAAAGAAACCUAAGGUUCUUGGUGUGUCCCCCUUGACUGGCAGGAUCAUUCCAGCCCCUGAUAAUGAUGAGGAGCUAACAGGACAGGUAACAGAGCAGGCGCCGCCUGCUUAAGAUCCAGAUGUCCUGACUUGGGCCAAAAGGGUCAGUAAGUCAGAAGUCCCAUGUUAGUUAACCCUGAUGAAGAAUGAGGGAUGUGCCUUCCCCGCCUGUCUGUCUCCUAUCUGUCACUUUGAUCUCACCUUUCCUUUGGACCAUUGGAUUCAUUGGCAGUGAUAGAGCCCUGGCUGUGACUCCUGAACAAUGCUGGUUUAUCACACUAUUCAGAUUAUGUGAAAUCUCUAUUUACAUUUAACUUUUUUAGGCAUUACUGGAACUUGUUUACUUCAGUUGAACAUACACUGCUUAACAGUCUUCAAUUACUCAGUGGAAUACAGAUUUUCUAUCUAUAUAUUUAUUCUUUUAUACACUUAUGACAGACACAGAUAGGGGAACUGUCCAACUCCUGGAUAAUUUUUGGAAUAUCUGGAUGUCUUGAUAUUUACAAUGUGAAUAUUGUGAAGGAUCGGUUAUAUUUUACCCUAUUUAGUUAGCAGUUCUGUCAUUUCUAAUCCACUGCAUCAUGGAUGGAGCUGGUGAAAGAAUUGUUUACCCUACCUCACUCUGGUUGGCCAUUCACAUUGCCAUGAUAUCAGCUGCUAUGUCAUCAGGCCAAAGACGAAAUUUUCAAAAUUCAAACAGAGCCACUAAUUUUCAGCAGUUGAGAUGUAAACAAAAGUCAUUAGAGUGAAACAGUUAAUUGUAGAGAACUUACGGACUCAGGUAUCUUUACAGUGGUGGUGAUAGGAACCGGGGUAAAGAUUUCCAAAUUACAAAUCUAGCAAUUUCACAUAUUUCUAAGUCGCUUAUUCUUAUUACCAAAACCACUUGAAAACUCUCCUGAGUUUUUGUAUGCAAUACAUUUUCUUUGGGACUGUUUUGCCUUCAGUUUCCUGAUCAUAACUCUCCACCACUCAUUUUUGAAAAAUGUUUUAGGCCAAAACCAUCUCUCAUAACUAUCUUAAAACAGUGUCUGAGGCAUCAGGCAGCAAAUUCCAAAUUAUUUCUUGUAAUCAUUUUAUGUGAGAAAAUCUUUGAGGCAAUAAGCUCUUCAAACGUCUGGUUCCUAUCACCACCACUGUGAACCAUUCUGAUUGGAAGUUUCUCUAGAGCUAAGCAUUUUAUAUAUGACCAUUCUAAAUGACCAUUUUGUCCGAUUCUUAAUCAUUUGAUUAUGCAGAUGUUUGGAAAUAUUGGUGGAAUUCCACUUUCAAGUACUGUCAUGUUUACACACCAGUCAGAGAACUUUCCAGCCCAACUCUUGGCUGUUCCUUUCUCAGGCACCUUUUGAAACAAAAUUCACUAUUUUUUUAGUCUUCAGUAAAAGCCAAAAAUGUGCAGAUAUUUCAGGAGCCUUUUUUUACACUGAGACAUAAUCAUAUUAAAACACUCCAUUAUUGGCAUGUAUAAGAAAUACUGGCCAGUUCCUACACCUUUCUACCUCACCUUAACUCUAGCUGCUGUCCUUCACAGUAUUUCUCCUAGAAAAAGAGAAAAAAAAGUCUUCUUCCUUUCACACUCCAUGAUAACCAGCAGUGGGAUAGUUUAUCUGUGGAAGGUUGAAGAUGAGAGCUGCGCUUUUACUAUUAAGCUAUUCAUUAUUCACUACAUUUUCACAACCAGCGAAGUUUCUUCCAUUUCCAGCUCAGCUUGCAUCCGCUAAUGUUAAUAUCAAAUGUUUUACACUUCUCCGAGGACCAGAAUUCAGUGUUCCUUUACCUUUUUUAAACAUCCAUUCUGUUACUAGAGGUCUCUGACCUUAGGUCAGUCUGUUGAUUGUCCAUCUACAUGUGGCCACUACUUUUAGGAGAAGCUUCUUACACUUCAGCUGCGCAGUAUUAUCCUAGUAAGGGUACCAGUAAGAGUAAAGCUUGUGUCCAGUUAUUGUUUCAGAGGCUUGUAGUCGAGGUUUUUGCUUUCCUAAGUCAACUAAAGCUUUCUAAGCCUUCGCAAUUAAAAAUUUGUUAUAGUUCUUGCAUGUGGGUCAUCUAGUAUGUAGUUUUUGGGGUUUUUUUUUGUUCAAAGAAGGGGCUCUGAAUGUAAACUUGAAUAAUGUAGUGUGGGUCUAUUCAGUGUGUCUGUCUUUGAAACUUUCCUGUUAUGGUUUGACGGAUGUGUAGUGUAGAGUUCUGUGCUAUCCUGAGCCUGGCCACUGCUUGAAUGUAGGCAGAGUAUUGUGUGUUUUAAAUAAAAAGGGAAUCAAACUUCUGUUUUUGUCCAGUACAUUUGUGUGUGUGUCACUGGCAGUGGUGAGUAUUCACUAGAUGUACUUUCAUGAGCAUCUUCAGAUGCUAAUACUUUUACUUUAAGUAUAUUUGCAAAGAAACGAAUCAACUACGUUUGACAUUUAUAGUUUUAUUUUAGACCAAAAGGAUCUCAAAAAGAGUAUAUUCGAAUGCAGAGGUUUGAACACACCCAGUCAAAUGUUUUCAUUUUCUAAGUGAAAAUACAUAAGCACAUCUAAAGAGAACAGUUAUGUAUGGCAUUUUAGCUGUAAUGUAAUGCAAAAUUGGGUAAAAAAAUGAAACUUGCCAUAACUUCUGCACAAUCCACAUUUUAUAGUUCUUUUUCUCCCAACGUGUUAAAUUCAGCAAAUAAACAGUAAUUUUGCAUUAAAAUGUGCCAGAGUGUGUUCUCUGCAGAGGAAAUGCUUGCACACUUUCACUUGGAAAAUUAACAAGAUGUGUCAUUUGACUUUUACAUACAAUUGUAUAUAUAUUAUAUGGUCUGUAGUUAGGGUGUAGAUUUAGGGUGCUGUCAGAUUGUGGCAUUUUCAGUCUCUGGUACAUCAAGUUAGACUUCAUAUGAAACAAAGAGGUCAAAAUAAGUGUGCGUGAUGCAAAAACCUCAAUAAUAAC
Pygocentrus nattereri (red-bellied piranha) is the source of this 4787-nucleotide long non-coding RNA. NCBI's taxonomy places the organism in Eukaryota, Metazoa, Chordata, Actinopteri, Characiformes, Serrasalmidae. The record is from Ensembl.